RNAcentral lists this non-coding RNA (48 nucleotides) under Vibrio alginolyticus 40B. RNAcentral's name for it is "uup RNA". It matches the Rfam family "uup RNA". Lineage: Bacteria; Pseudomonadati; Pseudomonadota; Gammaproteobacteria; Vibrionales; Vibrionaceae. The record is from RNAcentral.
GAAGGCUGAACUCCGUGCAAAAAAACGCGAUGAAGUGUUGCUCGGAGU